UACGGAAGGCAGCAGUGGGGAAUAUUGCACAAUGGGCGAAAGCCUGAUGCAGCUAUGCCGCGUGUAUGAAGAAGGCCUUAGGGUUGUAAAGUACUUUCAUCGGGGAGGAAAAACAAAACUAAUAAUUUUAUUUCUUGACGUUACCCGAAAAAGAAGCACCGGCUAACUCCGUGCCAGCAGCCGCGGUAAUACGGAGGGUGCUAGCGUUAAUCAGAAUUACUGGGCGUAAAGAGCACGUAGGUGGUUUUUUAAGUCAGAUGUGAAAUCCCUGGGCUUAACCUGGAACUGCAUUUUGAAACUGAAAUACUAGAGUAUCGUAGAGGGAGGUAGAAUUCUAGGUGUAGCGGUGAAAUGCGUAGAUAUCUGGAGGAAUACCUGUGGCGAAAGCGGCCUCCUAAACCGAAUACUGACACUGAGGUGCGAAAGCGUGGGGAGCAAACAGGGAUUAGAUACC
Molecule: ribosomal RNA, 454 nt
Filed under: uncultured bacterium
Lineage: Bacteria
Description: bacterial SSU rRNA
Rfam family: Bacterial small subunit ribosomal RNA
Source: RNAcentral